RNAcentral lists this ribosomal RNA (468 nucleotides) under uncultured bacterium. RNAcentral's name for it is "partial 16S ribosomal RNA". It matches the Rfam family "Bacterial small subunit ribosomal RNA", at positions 28 to 507 of the family's 1533-position model. The record is from RNAcentral.
GACGAACGCUGGCGGCGUGCUUAACACAUGCAAGUCGAACGGAAAGGCCCUGCUUUUGUGGGGUGCUCGAGUGGCGAACGGGUGAGUAACACGUGAGUAACCUGCCCUUGACUUUGGGAUAACUUCAGGAAACUGGGGCUAAUACCGGCUAGGAGCUCCUGCUGCAUGGUGGGGGUUGGAAAGUUUCGGCGGUUGGGGAUGGACUCGCGGCUUAUCAGCUUGUUGGUGGGGUAGUGGCUUACCAAGGCUUUGACGGGUAGCCGGCCUGAGAGGGUGACCGGCCACAUUGGGACUGGGAUACGGCCCAGACUCCUACGGGAGGCAGCAGUGGGGAAUAUUGCACAAUGGGCGGAAGCCUGAUGCAGCAACGCCGCGUGCGGGAUGACGGCCUUCGGGUUGUAAACCGCUUUCGCCUGCGACGAAGCGUGAGUGACGGUAAUGGGUAAAGAAGCACCGGCUAACUACGUG